Molecule: ribosomal RNA, 253 nt
Filed under: uncultured bacterium
Lineage: Bacteria
Description: partial 16S ribosomal RNA
Rfam family: Bacterial small subunit ribosomal RNA
Source: RNAcentral
UACGUAGGGGGCAAGCGUUGUCCGGAUUUAUUGGGCGUAAAGAGCGUGUAGGCGGCUUUACAGGUCCGUUGUGAAAACUCGAGGCUCAACCUCGAGACGCCGGUGGAAACCGUAAAGCUAGAGUCCGGAAGAGGAGAGUGGAAUUCCUGGUGUAGCGGUGAAAUGCGCAGAUAUCAGGAAGAACACCCGUGGCGAAGGCGGCUCUCUGGGCCGGAACUGACGCUGAGGCGCGAAAGCGUGGGGAGCAAACAGG